CUGCGGAAGGAUCAUUACAGAAUUUAGAGCUUAAUUGCUUUAUACACAUGUGUUUUUUGAUAAUACAACUUGCUUUGGUGGUGCUUUAUUGUCGCCACCAGAGAUAAACUUAACAAACGUUUAUUAUUUAGUCAACAAGAAAUCUAAUAGUUAAAACUUUCAACAACGGAUCUCUUGGUUCUCGCAUCGAUGAAGAACGCAGCGAAAUGCGAUAAGUAAUAUGAAUUGCAGAUAUUCGUGAAUCAUCGAAUCUUUGAACGCACAUUGCGCCCUUUGGUAUUCCAAAGGGCAUGCCUGUUUGAGCGUCAUUUCUCCCUCAAACCAAUUGGUUUGGUGUUGAGCAAUACGCCGGGUUUGCUUGAAAGAUAGAGGAGUAAUUUCAAUGGAUAGGUCUAACCACACUCAUUGGCAAAAAACUCCAAUAUUCUUCCAAAUUCGACCUCAAAUCAGGUAGG
Molecule: ribosomal RNA, 455 nt
Filed under: Nematodospora valgi
Lineage: Eukaryota; Fungi; Ascomycota; Pichiomycetes; Serinales; Debaryomycetaceae
Description: eukaryotic LSU rRNA
Rfam family: 5.8S ribosomal RNA (bases 155-308)
Source: RNAcentral